CAACUGUCUCUUAUAAUAAUCAAUUAAACUGAUCUCCUAGUAAAAAAGCUAGAAUUACAACAUAAGACCAGAAGACCCUGUGAAGCUUAAAUAAAACUAUUAAACCACAUAAUAACUACUUUCGGUUGGGGCGACCUUGGAAAAAAAGAGAACUUCCAAAUAAAAUGACUAUACCUCAUUAUCCAAAUUAGGCCAACAAGCCAAAAAUGACCCAGCACAGCUGAUAAUUGAACCAAGUUACUCCAGGGAUAACAGCGCAAUCUUCUUCAAGAGCCCAUAUCAAAAAGAAGGUUUACGACCUCGAUGUUGGAUCAGGACAUCCUAAUGGUGCAGCCGCUAUUAAGGGUUCGUUUGUUCAACGAUUAAUA
Molecule: ribosomal RNA, 368 nt
Filed under: Coronella austriaca
Lineage: Eukaryota; Metazoa; Chordata; Lepidosauria; Squamata; Colubridae
Description: partial large subunit ribosomal RNA
Rfam family: Bacterial large subunit ribosomal RNA
Source: RNAcentral